Equus caballus (horse) is the source of this 100-nucleotide small nuclear RNA. The record is from Ensembl. NCBI's taxonomy places the organism in Eukaryota, Metazoa, Chordata, Mammalia, Perissodactyla, Equidae.
UUCUUCUCAUAAAAACUAGCAAAGUCAAACGAUACAGAGAAGAUUAGCAUGGCCCCUGAGCAAGGAUGACACACAAAUUCGGGAAGCAUUCCAUAUUUUU